RNAcentral lists this long non-coding RNA (432 nucleotides) under Nicotiana benthamiana. RNAcentral's name for it is "long non-coding RNA (NBEN_LNC018209)". Lineage: Eukaryota; Viridiplantae; Streptophyta; Magnoliopsida; Solanales; Solanaceae. The record is from RNAcentral.
UCUUCAAUAACAAAAUUCUCCUUUCAAAAAUCUCUCUUCUCUUUUUAAGCUUCUUCUUCUUUAGUUGAAUCAUCCAAUCUUAGUUAACAAUUUUUGCUAGCAGAAGGUUUCCAAAUAAUACUUUUCUUCUGUUAUUCUUUACCCUCUCAAGUGUAUCACCGAAUCUUCAAACUAGGGAUUAGUUUUAAUCGUUAAGCGUUAUAAUUGUACCAAAAUAAAAGUUAUUAAUGUUACUUUACUGUAAUUCUGUAGGUCUAUUAUUUCAAGUAGCACAUAUAUAGUUAUAUUUAAAAGUGCCAUACUUAUAGAGCAUUAAUUAUGAGAUGUGUGUAUGAGGUAAUCUAAUUUUUAUAUUAAACAUGGCAAAUUGUUACUCUGGAGAAAAUAUUCAUGUACACUUAAUUUAUAUUUAAUGUAUAAUGUGUUUGAUCA